This 490-nucleotide ribosomal RNA is filed under the name uncultured bacterium. RNAcentral's name for it is "partial 16S ribosomal RNA". It matches the Rfam family "Bacterial small subunit ribosomal RNA", at positions 28 to 507 of the family's 1533-position model. The record is from RNAcentral.
GAUGAACGCUAGCUACAGGCUUAACACAUGCCAGUCGAGGGGAAACGAUGAGAGAGCUUGCUCUCUUAGGGGUCGACCGGCGCACGUGUGAGUAACGUGUAUCCAACCUACCCAUUACAGGGCGAUAACCUUGCGAAAGUAAUACUAAUACCCCAUGCCAUCUUAUGGUGGCGUCAUUAUAGGAUUAAAGAUUUAGUGGUAAUGGAUGGGGAUGCGUCUGAUUAGCUUGUUGGUUGGGUAACGGUCGGCCAAGGCAACGCUCAGUAUGGGUUCUUCGAGGGGCGUGCCUCAGAUUGGAACUGGGACCAGGUGGAAAGUGCUACGGGAGGCAGUAGUGAGGAAUAUUGGUGAGUGGGCGAGAGCUUGAACCAGCGAAGUAGCGUGCAGGAUGACGGCCCUAUGGAUUGUAAACUGCUUUUAUAAGGGAAUAAAGUCAGCUAAGUGUAGUUUAUUGAAUGUAACCUAUAAAUAAGGACCGGCUAAUUACGUG